GUGCCACCUGGGGGUCUCUGGGGCUGUGCUGGGCUUCUUGUGGCCACUUGAGGCCACUUGGGGGCUGUGCUGGGCUUCCUGGUGCUACCUGGGGCUGUGCUGGGCUUCUUGUGGCCACCUGGGGUUUCCUGGGGCCAUCUGAAGGUUCCUGGGGCUGUUGCUGGGCUUUUUGGGGCUACCUGGGGGUUCCUGGGGCCGUGCUGGGCUCUCUGGGGCCAUUUGGGGCUUCCUGGGGCUGGCUUAGGGUUUUUGGGGCCAUUUGGGGCUUCCUGGAGCUGUGCUGGGCUUCUUGUGGCCAUCUGGGGGCUCCUGGGGCCGUGCUGGGCUUUGCCAGGUGAGCAACACCUCAGUUUCCAUUUUUGNNNNNNNNNNNNNNNNNNNNNNNNNNNNNNNNNNNNNNNNNNNNNNNNNNNGGGAUUUGGGGUGGGCAGCAGCCAGCUCCUUUGGGAGCUGUGGGGCUGAGCUUGGGGAUGUGGAGAGGCUGUUUUGGGGUCAGGAAGUGGGGAUUUGGGGGCAGAAAGUGGGGAUUUGGGGACGGGAUUUGGAAAUAGAGCCUGGGAGGAGCACAGGGUUUGGGGCUCGGGGCUUUAGGGCUGAACUUGGGUCCUUGGGAGGUUUGGGGAUGGAUUUGGGGGUUUGGAGACAUCCCGGUUUUGGGGCUGGAUGUGGGGAUUUGGGGCUGGCUUUGGGUUUUUGGAGACAUCUCCGUUUUGGGGCUGGAUGUGGAGAUUUGGGGCUGGAUGUGGAGAUUUGGGGCUGGAUGUGGAGAUUUGGGGCUGGAUGUGGAGAUUUGGGGCUGGAUGUGGGGGUUUGGAGACAUCCCUGUUUUGGGGCUGAAUGUGGGGAUUUCAGGCUGGAUUUGGGGGUUUGGAGUCAUCCCUAUUUUGGGGCUGGAUGUGGAGAUUUGGGUCUGGAGACAUCCCUGUUUUGGGGCUGAAUGUGGGGAUUUCAGGCUGGAUGUGGGGAUUUGGAGACAUCCCAGUUUUGGGGCUGGCUUUGGAUUUUUGGAGACAUCCCAGUUUUGGGGCUGGUUUUGGGUUUUUGGAGACAUCCCUGUUUUGGGGCUGGAUGUGGAGAUUUGGGUCUGGAUGUGGGGAUUUGGAGUCAUCCCUAUUUUGGGGCUGGAUGUGGGGGUUUGGAGACAUCCCUGUUUUGGUGCUGGAUGUGGGGAUUUCAGGCUGGUUUUGGGUUUUUGGAGACAUCCCAGUUUUGGGGCUGGAUGUGGAGAUUUGGAGACAUCCCAGUUUUGGGGCUGGUUUUGGGUUUUUGGAGACAUCCCCAUUUUGGGGCUGGAUGUGGGGAUUUGGGGCUGA
RNAcentral lists this long non-coding RNA (1313 nucleotides) under Phasianus colchicus (ring-necked pheasant). Its description in RNAcentral is "lncRNA (ENSPCLG00000013915.1)". Lineage: Eukaryota; Metazoa; Chordata; Aves; Galliformes; Phasianidae. The record is from RNAcentral.